UUGCACGCUGGCGGCAGGCCUAACACAUGCAAGUCGCACGGUAACAGGAAGAAGCUUGCUUCUUUGCUGACGAGUGGCGGACGGGUGAGUAAUGUCUGGGAAACUGCCUGAUGGAGGGGGAUAACUACUGGAAACGGUAGCUAAUACCGCAUAACGUCGCAAGACCAAAGAGGGGGACCUUCGGGCCUUUUGCCAUCGGAUGUGCCCAGAUGGGAUUAGCUAGUAGGUGGGGUAACGGCUCACCUAGGCGACGAUCCCUAGCUGGUCUGAGAGGAUGACCAGCCACACUGGAACUGAGACACGGUCCAGACUCCUACGGGAGGCAGCAGUGGGGAAUAUUGCACAAUGGGCGCAAGCCUGAUGCAGCCAUGCCGCGUGUAUGAAGAAGGCCUUCGGGUUGUAAAGUACUUUCAGCGGGGAGGAAGGGAGUAAAGUUAAUACCUUUGCUCAUUGACGUUACCCGCAGAAGAAGCACCGGCUAACUCCGUG
RNAcentral lists this ribosomal RNA (489 nucleotides) under uncultured bacterium. RNAcentral describes it as "partial 16S ribosomal RNA". It matches the Rfam family "Bacterial small subunit ribosomal RNA", at positions 30 to 507 of the family's 1533-position model. The record is from RNAcentral.